AAUGAAACCAGAUAUGACUUAGUGGCGGACGGGUGAGUAACACGUGAGCAACCUGCCUUUCAGAGGGGGAUAACGGCUGGAAACGGUCGCUAAUACCGCAUGACGUGUUCGGAUGGCAUCAUCUGAACAUCAAAGAUUUAUCGCUGAAAGAUGGGCUCGCGUCUGAUUAGCUGGUUGGUGAGGUAACGGCCCACCAAGGCGACGAUCAGUAGCCGGACUGAGAGGUUAACCCCCACACUGGUACUGAGACACGGACCAGACUCC
Molecule: ribosomal RNA, 264 nt
Filed under: uncultured bacterium
Lineage: Bacteria
Description: partial 16S ribosomal RNA
Rfam family: Bacterial small subunit ribosomal RNA
Source: RNAcentral